AAAGGAAUUGACGGGGGCCCGCACAAGCGGAGGAACAUGUGGUUUAAUUCGAUGAUACGCGAGGAACCUUACCUGGGCUUAAAUGUAGAGUGCAUUAGUGGGAAACCAUUAUUUUCUUCGGAACUCUUUGCAAGGUGCUGCAUGGUUGUCGUCAGCUCGUGCCGUGAGGUGUCGGGUUAAGUCCCAUAACGAGCGCAACCCUUAUCGUUAGUUGCCAGCGGGUAAUGCCGGGAACUCUAGCGAAACUGCCGGUGUAAACCGAGAGGAAGGUGGGAUGACGUCAAAUCAGCACGGCCCUUAUGUCCAGGGCUACACACGUGUUACAAUGGCCGGUACAGAGGGCAGCUACCUGGAGACAGGAUGCGAAUCUCGAAAGCCGGUCUCAGUUCGGAUCGGAGUCUGCAACUCGACUCCGUGAAGCUGGAUUCGCUAGUAAUCGCGCAUCAGCCAUGGCGCGGUGAAUACGUUCCCGGGCCUU
This 478-nucleotide ribosomal RNA is filed under the name uncultured Sphingobacteriales bacterium. RNAcentral's name for it is "bacterial SSU rRNA". It matches the Rfam family "Bacterial small subunit ribosomal RNA", at positions 903 to 1382 of the family's 1533-position model. The record is from RNAcentral. Lineage: Bacteria; Pseudomonadati; Bacteroidota; Sphingobacteriia; Sphingobacteriales.